This 317-nucleotide long non-coding RNA is filed under the name Elaeis guineensis (African oil palm). RNAcentral's name for it is "long non-coding RNA (EGUI_LNC002817)". The record is from RNAcentral. Lineage: Eukaryota; Viridiplantae; Streptophyta; Magnoliopsida; Arecales; Arecaceae.
AUUAGUUAUAGUGAGGAUAUACAAAAUUUGUUGCUGUAAACUUAGAAGUUAUAAAUGCAUAUAACAUCUAAUUAAUGCACUUGUAAACUAUUGAAUCAUUUUUUUUUCAAAAUAGCAUAUUAAUUACUCAUAAAAUACAAUUGAAAAAAAAUUAUAAGUCAAUUGGUUAAAUUUUGUACUUAUACAGUAUUAUGCAUUCACAAUGAUUGCAAAAGUAGGAGAUAUGCUCUAGAAUCAUUAAUAUUGCAUUGGGUGCAGAUGCCAUCACAUACAAACGUAUACUUAAUGUCGCACUGAGAGAAUAUUGUAACAGGUCA